CCUAAGGUCACGUGGGUGCCCCCUGGCUUGGGGUCCCAUGGGUGCCCGUGGGGUCCCAUGGGUGUCCGUGAGGUCCCACGCGCUUCCUCCGUGGCUGUGGGUCCCGUGGGUGACCCUAAGGGCGCCUGGGUUCCUCCAUGCUUGGGGGUCGUUGCGGGUGUCCCCGGGAUCCUAUGGGUGUCCCUGAGGUCCCCUGGGUGCCCACAUGUUUGGGGGCUUCCUGGGUGUCCCUAAAGGCCCCUGGGUGCCCCCGGUGGUUGAGGGUCGUGUGGGUGUCCCCAGGGUCCCAUGGGUGUCCCCGUGAUUGGGGCUUUUACGGGUGUCUUUAAGGGCCCCUGGAUUCCACUAAGUGUCCCCGAGGUCCCCUGGGUGCCCACAUGUUUGGGGGUCCCCUGGGUGUCCCUAAGAGCUCCUGGGUGCCCCCAGUGGUUGGGGGUCCCGUGGGUGUCCCCAGGGUCCCAUGGGUGUCUGUGAGGUGCCAUGGGUUCUUCCGAGGUCCCAUGGGUGCCCCCAUGAUUGGGAGUCAUAUGGGUGCCCAUGGGGUCCCCUGGGUGUCCCUGAGGUCCCCUGGGUUCCCCUAAUGGUUGGGGGUCAUGUGGGUGCCUCCAUGGUUGGGGGUCAUGUGGGUGUCCCCAAGAUCGUAUGGGUGUCCCUGGGGUCCCCUGGGUGCCCACAUGUUUGGGGGCCUCCUGGGUGUCCCCCUGGAUGCCCCCAAUAGUUGAGGGUCCCGUGGGUGUCCCCAGGAUCCCAUGGGUGUCCCUGAGGUCCCCUGACUGCCCCCCAUGGCUGCGGGUCCCCUGGUGACCCUAAAGACCCCUGGGUGCCCCCAGUAGAUGAGGGUCGCAUGGGUGCCCCCAUCAUUGGGGUCCCAUGGGUGCUCCUAGGAAUGGGGGGGUCCUGUGUGUGUCCCCAGGGUCCCCUGGGUGCCCCCAUGGCUGGGGGUCGUGCGAGGGUCCCAUGGGCAUCCCCCAGGGUGUCCAUCAGCUCCACGGGUUCCCCCAGUGGCUCAGGGUCCCCUGGGUGUCCCCUGUCUGUCUCUGGGGUCCUCUGGGUGUCCCCCCAUCCCCGGGUGCCCCAGCAGUUGUGGGUCCCCUCUGGUUGUCACCGCCGUCCCCCGGAGGCUCCUCAAUUCCUUUUUGGGGGGGG
This is a long non-coding RNA of Tympanuchus pallidicinctus (lesser prairie-chicken), 1146 nucleotides long. RefSeq lists it as uncharacterized. The transcript is spliced from 3 exons. The record is from RefSeq and is a predicted model, not a curated record. NCBI's taxonomy places the organism in Eukaryota, Metazoa, Chordata, Aves, Galliformes, Phasianidae.